GCCAGGUGUGAUGGUGCACACCUGUAAUCCCAGCUACUGGGGAGGCUGAGGCAGGAGGAUCACAAGUUCAAGGCCAGCUUGUUGCCAAUGUAAUAAGAUCCUGUGUCAA
This 109-nucleotide small RNA is filed under the name Marmota monax (woodchuck). The record is from RNAcentral. Lineage: Eukaryota; Metazoa; Chordata; Mammalia; Rodentia; Sciuridae.